UACGGAGGUAGCAAGCGUUGUUCGGAUUUACUGGGUGUAAAGGUCAUGUAGGCGUCUUUCUAAGUCGGAUGUGAAAUCCCUCAGCUUAACUGAGGAACUGCAUUCGAUACUGGAAAGAUUGAGUACUUGAGAGGUAAGCGGAAUUCCGGAAGUAAGGGUGAAAUCUGUAGAUAUCCGGAAGAACACCAUUAGCGAAGGCGGCUUACUGGCAAGAUACUGACGCUGAAAUGAGAAAGCUAGGGGAGCGAACAGGAUUAGAUACCCUUGUA
RNAcentral lists this ribosomal RNA (269 nucleotides) under uncultured prokaryote. RNAcentral's name for it is "partial 16S ribosomal RNA". It matches the Rfam family "Bacterial small subunit ribosomal RNA", at positions 524 to 792 of the family's 1533-position model. The record is from RNAcentral.